AUUGAACGCUGGCGGCAGGCCUAACACAUGCAAGUCGAGCGGAUGAAGGGAGCUUGCUCCUGGAUUCAGCGGCGGACGGGUGAGUAAUGCCUAGGAAUCUGCCUGGUAGUGGGGGAUAACGUCCUGAAACGGGCGCUAAUACCGCAUACGUCCUGAGGGAGAAAGUGGGGGAGCUUCGGGCCUCACGCUAUCAGAUGAGCCUAGGUCGGAUUAGCUAGUUGGUGGGGUAAAGGCCUACCAAGGCGACGAUCCGUAACUGGUCUGAGAGGAUGAUCAGUCACACUGGAACUGAGACACGGUCCAGACUCCUACGGGAGGCAGCAGCGGGGAAUAUUGGACAAUGGGCGAAAGCCUGAUCCAGCCAUGCCGCGUGUGUGAAGAAGGUCUUCGGAUUGUAAAGCACUUUAAGUUGGGAGGAAGGGCAGUAAGUUAAUACCUUGCUGUUUUGACGUUACCAACAGAAUAAGCACCGGCUAACUUCGUG
This 484-nucleotide ribosomal RNA is filed under the name uncultured bacterium. RNAcentral describes it as "partial 16S ribosomal RNA". It matches the Rfam family "Bacterial small subunit ribosomal RNA", at positions 30 to 507 of the family's 1533-position model. The record is from RNAcentral.